Molecule: ribosomal RNA, 642 nt
Filed under: bacterium SL3.17
Lineage: Bacteria
Description: bacterial SSU rRNA
Rfam family: Bacterial small subunit ribosomal RNA
Source: RNAcentral
CAGUCGAGCGGCAGCGGGGGUGCUUGCACCUGCCGGCGAGCGGCGAACGGGUGAGUAAUACAUCGGAACGUACCCAUGUGGUGGGGGAUAACUACUCGAAAGAGUAGCUAAUACCGCAUACGCCCUGAGGGGGAAAGCGGGGGAUUCUUCGGAACCUCGCGCCAUUGGAGCGGCCGAUGUCGGAUUAGCUAGUAGGUGGGGUAAAGGCUCACCUAGGCGACGAUCCGUAGCUGGUCUGAGAGGAUGAUCAGCCACACUGGGACUGAGACACGGCCCAGACUCCUACGGGAGGCAGCAGUGGGGAAUUUUGGACAAUGGGCGCAAGCCUGAUCCAGCCAUGCCGCGUGAGUGAAGAAGGCCUUCGGGUUGUAAAGCUCUUUCAGUCGGGAAGAAAAGGCGCGCUCUAACAUAGCGCGCUCAUGACGGUACCGACAGAAGAAGCACCGGCUAACUACGUGCCAGCAGCCGCGGUAAUACGUAGGGUGCGAGCGUUAAUCGGAAUUACUGGGCGUAAAGCGUGCGCAGGCGGUUGUGUAAGACAGGUGUGAAAUCCCCGGGCUUAACCUGGGAACUGCGCUUGUGACUGCACGGCUAGAGUACGGCAGAGGGGGGUGGAAUUCCACGUGUAGCAGUGAAAUGCGU